UGGGGAAUAUUGGACAAUGGGCGAAAGCCUGAUCCAGCCAUGCCGCGUGAGUGACGAAGGCCUUAGGGUUGUAAAACUCUUUCGUCGGGGACGAUAAUGACGGUACCCGAAGAAGAAGCUCCGGCUAACUUCGUGCCAGCAGCCGCGGUAAUACGAAGGGAGCUAGCGUUGUUCGGAAUCACUGGGCGUAAAGCGCACGUAGGCGGAUAGUUAAGUCAGGGGUGAAAUCCUGGGGCUCAACCCCAGAACUGCCUUUGAUACUGGCUGUCUCGAGGUCGAGAGAGGUUGGUGGAAUUCCUAGUGUAGAGGUGAAAUUCGUAGAUAUUAGGAAGAACACCAGUGGCGAAGGCGGCCAACUGGCUCGAUACUGACGCUGAGGUGCGAAAGCUUGGGGAGCAAACAGGAUUAGAUACCCCAGUAGUCCCUGAGCGGGCUGGCAAGGCGCAU
This 447-nucleotide ribosomal RNA is filed under the name uncultured bacterium. Its description in RNAcentral is "bacterial SSU rRNA". It matches the Rfam family "Bacterial small subunit ribosomal RNA", at positions 355 to 825 of the family's 1533-position model. The record is from RNAcentral.